UGCAGUUGGAAAGCAAGUCCUUCGAUACGGCCGUUGUCGUCAAGCUCUAUCAGCAACAAUAGCAGGGGGAAUUAAUUAGGUGGCGCUACAGUCGUCCGUAACGUCAAAAAGUCCGCCAAAUCAAUCGGCUAAAAGAUUGACGUUUAAAGUAUUUUUUGCAACUUGUCAUGCUUUUAUUACAAUUAAAUUUUAAAAUUUGUAGGUUUUGUGACCAAUAUAAUUUAUUUACGAC
Molecule: long non-coding RNA, 232 nt
Filed under: Mytilus galloprovincialis (Mediterranean mussel)
Lineage: Eukaryota; Metazoa; Mollusca; Bivalvia; Mytilida; Mytilidae
Source: RNAcentral